This 473-nucleotide ribosomal RNA is filed under the name uncultured bacterium. Its description in RNAcentral is "partial 16S ribosomal RNA". It matches the Rfam family "Bacterial small subunit ribosomal RNA", at positions 28 to 523 of the family's 1533-position model. The record is from RNAcentral.
AAUGAACGUUGGCGGCGUGGAUUAGGCAUGCAAGCCGGACGCCCCGCAAGGGGAGUGGCGCAAGGGUGAGUAAGGCGAUGGUAACCAACCCCGCGGACGGGCAUAGCCGGGGGAAACCCCGGGUAAUUCCCGGCGACGCAGUGAGCUGGCAUCAGCUUAUUGCCAAAGGCUCCGGCCGCCGCAGGACGGGCCGUCGUGGUAUUAGGUUGUUGGUGGGGUGACGGCCCACCACGCCCGCGAUGCCUACCGGGUGUGAGAGGAUGGCCCGGCACACUGGGACUGAGACACUGCCCAGGCUCCUACGGGAGGCUGCAGUCGAGAAUCUUCGGCAAUGGGCGCAAGCCUGACCGAGCGACGCCGCGUGGAGGACGAAGGCCUUCGGGUUGUAAACUCCUGUCGAGGGGGAGGAAGGCGCAAGCUUGACCGAUCCCUGGAGGAAGCACGGGCUAAGUUCGUGCCAGCAGCCGCGGUAA